Molecule: ribosomal RNA, 253 nt
Filed under: uncultured bacterium
Lineage: Bacteria
Description: partial 16S ribosomal RNA
Rfam family: Bacterial small subunit ribosomal RNA
Source: RNAcentral
UACAGAGGUCCCAAGCGUUGUUCGGAUUCACUGGGCGUAAAGGGUGCGUAGGCGGUCGGGUAAGUCUGAUGUGAAAUCUCACAGCUUAACCGUGAAACUGCAUUGGAUACUAUCCGGCUCGAGGAAUGGAGGGGAGACUGGAAUACUUGGUGUAGCAGUGAAAUGCGUAGAUAUCAAGUGGAACACCAGUGGCGAAGGCGAGUCUCUGGACAUUUCCUGACGCUGAGGCACGAAAGCCAGGGGAGCAAACGGG